UACCCCAUACUUUCCCCACCUGUGUAGAUCUACACUUCCUUACCUAUUUUAUUUAGUGCUCCAUAUUACAACACAUAUUUUUCAUUCAUUUUAGAUCCACGUUAUAAAUAUCUUUAUUCAUUCUAAUUUAAUACAGUUUUCUUGGAAUUUCCUAUUUAUCCAUAUUAAACAACUAAUUCAAUGAUUUUUUUUAUGUAAUGUAGGCAAACAUAGUUGAAAAUUAAAUCGUAAUUAUAAUUCUGAAGCAAUUAAAACCAACGUUUAAUAAUAAUUUAGGCAAUUCAAAUAAAUAUUUAAACUAAUCUGCGCUGAACGCCAAUUAACUCUCUUCUUCUUCUUCUCAGGUUGCCCAGACGGACAUGAAUGCUGAAUGCGGCUGUUAAAUUCUGGCUCUUCCCAAUAUGUAAUAUUAAGGACAAACAAAGGAAAGUGUCGCCUAAAAAACAGAAACGACAACACUAGAACACAUCGAAGGAUGGUCACCUAACCCAGAGUUGAGCUCAAUUCGGAGUCCUAACCACCUGUACCUCAACGACAAGAGUACUUAUGUCUAUUGGGAACUAUACCAGCGCAUGCCGGACUGCCUAUGCGUUUAUACAGCGCCUCCCUCGUUGGACUUGGACAGCGAAGAGUGUGACUCCCGUUUAGCUUUAAGUAGAUUUAGUUAUAGUUGUACUUUUUGUUCAUAUGCUAACUGUUAAUAUGAUCCUCUUUGUUUUAAAUCCAAAUCGGUAUUAUCUCAUAAUAUUUGUCUUAGAUUCGUUUCAAUUUAACUUCAAACCAAAAUAUUGUUUGUAUUUCUAUGUUUGUUAAUCUAAGGAGAUUUAAAUGUUCAAUUGUUCUCCUUUUUGUAUU
This is a long non-coding RNA of Musca domestica (house fly), 855 nucleotides long. RefSeq lists it as uncharacterized. The record is from RefSeq and is a predicted model, not a curated record. The transcript is spliced from 3 exons. Lineage: Eukaryota; Metazoa; Arthropoda; Insecta; Diptera; Muscidae.